This is a non-coding RNA of Myodes glareolus (Bank vole), 361 nucleotides long. Lineage: Eukaryota; Metazoa; Chordata; Mammalia; Rodentia; Cricetidae. The record is from RefSeq and is a predicted model, not a curated record.
GACCAAUAGGAAAUCACAGCGCGUCCCUAUGGCGGCCAAUGGGAGAGGAGUAAGAGGGGUUGCGGACUACGGUUCCGGGGACAGGAAGUACGGCGGCCCCGUCGCCUACUGGAAUGCAAGAAUGGGAGAAAAGCAUGCCGGCUAGGAAAGGGGAAGGACUAGAUUUUAUUUCAUGUCCCUUCCCAAUGCUCCAUUGCUCCCUUGUUUUUCAUCCCCCGGUCGAUGGAAAAGAAAAUUCUUCUGGAAAAAUGUCUCAAUCCGCGAAAGAAAAGAGCUGUGUUUGUGGACCGCUGAAGCUUCGGAAAAGCAAAACUUGAAAGACCCUUCUAGAAGGCUAGGAAUAAGCUCUCUCAUUGGCGGC